UGACAAGCAAAUGCCACUCUGAAUACACAGACCUCAUCUGAUAUCGGAAGCUAAGCAGGGUUGGAUCUAGUUAGAACUUAGACAAGAGACCCACGAGGAAGUAACAAGGAUCUUCAG
RNAcentral lists this ribosomal RNA (117 nucleotides) under Pogona vitticeps (central bearded dragon). Lineage: Eukaryota; Metazoa; Chordata; Lepidosauria; Squamata; Agamidae. The record is from RNAcentral.